GUGCAAUCAUGAGAUGAUUUCUUGAUGAAUUCGCUAUCCGGGACGGAUCGCCAGUCCGUCGCCUGAGAGGAGGAUGGUAUUUUACCGGACGGUUGCUCGCCUGGCAGUCUUUAUUUAGUACUAUUGUCGGUAUACCUAUGUUAUAGGCCAAGUGGCCUGUGUAGGAGAGAAAUUCCUUAACAGUAAGGCAGCCUUGCUCCAGCCUUUCAGUCGCCGCUCUUAUGUUCUGUCCUGCUGCACAUAUAGUGGACGACGUGGCCUUAAGGUGGGGCGCUCCAACUGCUGUUGAUAUUUUUGGCUAUAAAUACCCUCAAUUUUCAGGAGUACCUCUGUAAUUAAAAAAAAAAAAUUAUUUCUAUAACUAAUUAACUAUUUUGUAGCAAGUAUUUCGAUUUACUUGUAAAAUUCCAAAUUCCCGGUCUUUGUUGUAUUCAUUUGUUGGUUUAAAAUUCUGUGAAAGACCUCCUGAUCAUUGUUUGUCCUCCUGGCCUGUCCGUAACGCUAAAAUUCUGCGCACCGGUUCCUAUAUUUUUUUUAACCCCAGAGCAUUUCAUAUACAUAAAAAUAAAUUCAGUAUUUUGGAGUCGAGAGCGUUUUAAAAGUUUAUAGCUGUGAUUGCCGGAGAGAUGGCGGCUUCUUUUAACCAGACGAUUUUUUGCCCGGCAACAGUGAGUGCCAAACACACUAAUGCCUUACCCACUCUGCCAUUUCCUCUCCACUAUGUACAAAGGUUUGCAGUACUAAACACUUACGGUUCAUCCACUGGUUCUCGAAGUAAUUAAUAUAUCGACGAGCUAUUUGUUCGUUUUCCGCGUGACUACUCUCUUCUUUGAUCAGGUUAAAACCCUCGGCUAUGUGCUCGACCGGUAAAAGGGCCAGAGCCUUCGACAUGCGGAACAUGUUAUGCAAUGCCAAGUCGUUACGAUAUUCACGUCGCCGCAUGCCAAACUCUUUACCAUUUUUCUAAAGUGCCUAUAAAUUACCAUAAACAUUUUUAAAUGGCAACACACGAUGCUAUAUUUUU
Adelges cooleyi (spruce gall adelgid) is the source of this 1024-nucleotide long non-coding RNA. RefSeq lists it as uncharacterized. NCBI's taxonomy places the organism in Eukaryota, Metazoa, Arthropoda, Insecta, Hemiptera, Adelgidae. The record is from RefSeq and is a predicted model, not a curated record. The transcript is spliced from 3 exons.